RNAcentral lists this transfer RNA (64 nucleotides) under Ciona intestinalis (vase tunicate). RNAcentral's name for it is "tRNA (ENSCING00000025198.1)". RNAcentral also lists the same sequence under 1 other name. The record is from RNAcentral. Lineage: Eukaryota; Metazoa; Chordata; Ascidiacea; Phlebobranchia; Cionidae.
UUAAAGAUAAACUAUAUAAGUUAUAGGAUUCAUACUCCUAUCAAGAGUGGAAACUCUCUUUAAA